This 265-nucleotide ribosomal RNA is filed under the name uncultured bacterium. RNAcentral's name for it is "partial 16S ribosomal RNA". It matches the Rfam family "Bacterial small subunit ribosomal RNA", at positions 92 to 353 of the family's 1533-position model. The record is from RNAcentral.
UUAGUGGCGGACGGGUGAGUAACGCGUGGGUAACCUGCCUUGUACUGGGGGACGAACAGUUGGAAACGACUGCUAAUACCGCAUAAGCGCACAGCUUCGCAUGAAGCAGUGUGAAAAACUACCGGUGGUACAAGAUGGACCCGCGUCUGAUUAGCUGGUUGGUGAGGUAACGGCCCACCAAGGCGACGAUCAGUAGCCGGCCUGAGAGGGUGAACGGCCACAUUGGGACUGAGACACGGCCCAAACUCCUACGGGAGGCAGCAUG